Molecule: long non-coding RNA, 1788 nt
Organism: Coturnix japonica (Japanese quail)
Lineage: Eukaryota; Metazoa; Chordata; Aves; Galliformes; Phasianidae
Source: Ensembl
AUUGGGAUCCCCAUCCCUCCACCCCAACAUCCCCAACCAUUGGGAUCCCCAUCCCUCCAUCCCAACAUCCCCAACUAUUGGGAUCCCCAUCCCUCCAUCCCAACAUCCCCAACCACUGGGAUCCCUUCUCCAUCCCAACAUCCCCAACCAUUGGGAUCCCCAUUCCUCCAUCCCAACAUCCCAAAACAUUGGGGUCCCCAUCCCUCCAUCCCAACACCCCCAACCAUUGGGGUCUCCAUGUCCCCACCCCAAUGUCUGCAACCAUUGGGAUCCCAUCUCCAUACCAAUCUCCCCCAACCAUUGGAGACACCAUGUCCCAAUCUCCACACCAACAUCCCCAACCAUUGGGAUCCCUUCUCCAUCCCAACAUCCCCAACCAUUGGGAUCCCUUCUCCAUCCCAGCAUCCCAAACCAUUGGGGUCCCCAUGUCCCCACCCCAGCAUCUCCAACCACUGGGAUCCCUUCUCCAUCCCAACAUCCCCAACCACUGGGGUUUCCACAUCCUCAUCUCCACCCUGACGUCCCCUGGGAUUGGAAUCCCCAUGUCCCCAUGUCCACCCCAACAUCCCCAAACACUGGGGUCUCCAUGUCCCCACCUCAAUGUCCCCAGCCAUUGGGAUCCCAUCUCCAUCCCAGUGUCCCCAACCACUGGGGUCCCCACAUCCCCAUCUCCACACCAACAUCCCCAACCACUGGGGUCCCCAUGUCCCCAUCCCAAUGUCCCCAACCAUGGGGGUCUCCAUCUUUCUACCCCAACAUCCCCAACCACGGGGGUCUCCAUGUCCACACCAACAUCCCCAACUAUUGGGGUUCCCAUGUCCCCUCCCCAAUGUCCGCAACCACUGGGAUCCCAUCUCCAUCCCAGUGUCCCCAACCACCCCGAAUGCCACGUCCCCAUCUCUGCACCAACAUCCCCAGCCAUUGGGGUCCCCAUGUCUCCACCCCAACGUCCCCAACCAAUGUCCCCACUUCUCAGGGUCCCCAUCCCUUCAGGCCCCAAUUUCUUGGGUUCCCCAUCUCUUACAGUCCCCAUUCCAAUGGUCCAGUUCUUGGGGUCUCUAUCCCAAUGUCCCUAUUUCCUGAUGUCCCCACCCCAAUGGCCCAAUUCUUGGGGUCCCCAUCCCGAUGUCCCCACCCCAAUGUCCCCGUUUCUUGAGGUCCCCAUCCCAAUGUCCCGACCUCAAUGUCCCCAUCCCAUUGUCCCCAUUUCUUGGGGUCCCCAUCCCUUCAGGCUCCAAUUUCUCAGGCUCCCACCUCUUACAGUCCCCACCCCAAUGGCUCCAUUUCUUGGGGUCCCCAUCCCAAUGUCCCCACCCCAAUGGCUCCAUUUCUUGGGGUCCCCAUCCCAAUGUCCCCAUCCCAUUGUCCCCAUUUCUUGGGGUCCCCACCCCAAUGGCCCCAUUUCUUGGGGUCCCCAUCCCAAUGUCCCCACCCCAAUGGCCCCAUUUCUUGGGGUCCCCAUCCCUUCAGCUCCCAAUUCCCCAUGUCCCCGCUCACCCGCUGUCCCCAGCGCCAGCGCCAGGCAGGCGGCCAGUAGGGCCCGGCAGGACGGUGCGGCCAUAGGGACGGGGAUGGGGACGGGGACGGGCCCUGGGUGGCAGCCUGCGGCCAAGGACUGAGAGUGGAAACCUGUCCCCAUGGCAACAUGAUGCCCCACGUACCCAUCCCCAUCCCAUCCCAUCCCUGUCCCAUCCCCGUCCCAUCCCUGUCCCAUUACUACCCCCUUCUUGUCCCCUUCCUGUCUCCAUCCCUGUUCCAUCCCCAUCCCAUCCCUGUCCCAUCCCUGCC